AUUGAACGCUGGCGGCAGGCCUAACACAUGCAAGUCGAGCGAGCGGCGGACGGGUGAGUAAUGUCUGGGAAACUGCCUGAUGGAGGGGGAUAACUACUGGAAACGGUAGCUAAUACCGCAUACCAUCAGAUGUGCCCAGAUGGGAUUAGCUAGUAGGUGGGGUAACGGCUCACCUAGGCGACGAUCCCUAGCUGGUCUGAGAGGAUGACCAGACACAAUGGAACGGAGACACGGUCAGGACGCCUACGGGAGGCAGCAGGGGGGAAUAGUGAACAAUGGGAGCAAGCCUGAGGCAGCCAUGCCGCGUGUGUGAAGAAGGCAUUCGGGUGGGAAAGCACUUUCAGCGGGGAGGCGUUACCCGCAGAAGAAGCACCGGCUAACUCCGUGCCAGCAGCCGCGGUAAUUC
This 406-nucleotide ribosomal RNA is filed under the name uncultured bacterium. RNAcentral's name for it is "partial 16S ribosomal RNA". It matches the Rfam family "Bacterial small subunit ribosomal RNA", at positions 29 to 526 of the family's 1533-position model. The record is from RNAcentral.